This 30-nucleotide non-coding RNA is filed under the name Mus musculus (house mouse). Lineage: Eukaryota; Metazoa; Chordata; Mammalia; Rodentia; Muridae. The record is from RNAcentral.
UGAAGAUGGACAAAGUAAUGUUCUGCAAUC